AAAAAUAAUGUAUUCACUUAAUAUUAAAGAGUUGUUGGUAGUUGAUGAUCAGCUUCAAGGACGAUCGGGUUCAACUAAAAAAAGGGAGCCUACCCGCAUCGAUCAAAUUAAUGAAAAGUCGAGCAACAACCCAGAAUUUGAAGCAAUAUUUGAGAGCAAAAGGGCAGAUCAAGCCUGCAAUUAAAAGGGUGAAGCUACGGGUUGAAGAUAAGAGAUCAUGUUUGGCUAUUGUUGCUAAUAAGUGCAGCCCCAUGAUAAAAAUGAUGUGGCGUUUGGUUUCUAAGAGCUACCAUAUGGACAAAUUGUAAGAUGGAACUUUUUGCAUAAGGUCCCUGUAUUAUGAUUUCUGUGGAUUUAAUUUUUAUAUUAUGAUUUGAUUAUUUUUUAUCUCUUUAUUUUUAG
Molecule: long non-coding RNA, 402 nt
Filed under: Gossypium barbadense (sea-island cotton)
Lineage: Eukaryota; Viridiplantae; Streptophyta; Magnoliopsida; Malvales; Malvaceae
Description: long non-coding RNA (GBAR_LNC018206)
Source: RNAcentral